GUGCUCACUUCAGCAGCACAUACACUAAGAUUGGAGUGAUACAGACAAGAUUACCGUGGUCCCUGUGCAAGGGUGACACGCACAUUAUGAAGUGUUCCAUGUUUUU
Molecule: small nuclear RNA, 106 nt
Organism: Zalophus californianus (California sea lion)
Lineage: Eukaryota; Metazoa; Chordata; Mammalia; Carnivora; Otariidae
Source: Ensembl